AUUGAACGCUGGCGGCAUGCCUUACACAUGCAAGUCGAACGGCAGCACGGGAGCAAUCCUGGUGGCGAGUGGCGAACGGGUGAGUAAUAUAUCGGAACGUGCCCAGUCGUGGGGGAUAACGCAGCGAAAGCUGUGCUAAUACCGCAUACGAUCUACGGAUGAAAGCGGGGGAUCGCAAGACCUCGCGCGAUUGGAGCGGCCGAUAUCAGAUUAGCUAGUUGGUGGGGUAAAGGCCUACCAAGUCGACGAUCUGUAGCUGGUCUGAGAGGACGACCAUCCACACUGGAACUGAGACACGGUCCAGACUCCUACGGGAGGCAGAAGUGGGGAAUUUUGGACAAUGGGCGCAAGCCUGAUCCAGCAAUGCCGCGUGCAGGAUGAAGGCCUUCGGGUUGUAAACUGCUUUUGUACGGAACGAAACGGUGAGCUCUAAUACAGUUUGCUAAUGACGGUACCGUAAGAAUAAGCACCGGCUAACUACGUGCCAGCCGCCGCCGUAA
RNAcentral lists this ribosomal RNA (500 nucleotides) under uncultured bacterium. RNAcentral's name for it is "partial 16S ribosomal RNA". It matches the Rfam family "Bacterial small subunit ribosomal RNA", at positions 30 to 523 of the family's 1533-position model. The record is from RNAcentral.